Molecule: non-coding RNA, 1475 nt
Organism: Misgurnus anguillicaudatus (oriental weatherfish)
Lineage: Eukaryota; Metazoa; Chordata; Actinopteri; Cypriniformes; Cobitidae
Source: RefSeq, a predicted model, not a curated record
AGGUUCUUCAAAGGUUCUGAAAUGAUGGUAAAGGUUCUAUAUAGAACCAUAGCUUACUGAAGAACCAUUUUUUGCUGAAAUGGUUCUUUGUCUUGGCAAAAGGGUUCUUUAUUUCCCUCCUUUUUGGAUUUUAAAUUGAGUCAGUUAUUUUCAAGCUGCCUCCUGAUUAAUUUCACCUGUAAAGCUCUGAAUCAUCAGUCCUGCUGAACUGCCUGCAGACUAACAUCACAAACAGGUAAGAGAGGAAAAUAAUCAUCAUUUACUGUUAAAACAUUUUGAAAAUUGAAGUUUUGUGUGUUCUUAUUGUAAUUUAUUUAUUUUAUAACAGGUAAGCUUUAUACUGUAAGCUUCAUUCCCUUUAAAGCAGGUAAGCUUCAUACUGUUUUAAAUGAUAGAAGACUCUGCUUUAACAAUGACUUAAGAUAAUGAUUUGUUAAAGUGUUCAAAAGCAUAUACAUGUAUAUUUUACAUUAAGUUUAUUAAACUAAUUAUGAAAAGAAUGUGGUACAACAUGUAUUUAGUUUUUUUAUUGAUAUUUCAGAGUUUUUAUAUGUGAGGUAAUCUUGCUGGGAGUGAAGGCAGUGCAUGGCGUAUGAAUGCUUGAUAUGAGAGACACAUGCUGUAAAGGUCAACUUUAUACUGUAAGCUUCAUUCCAUUUAUAGCAGUUUUCAUAUGUGAUGUCAUCUUACUGGGAGUGAAGGCAGUGCGUAUGACCGCUUGAUACGAGAGACAAAUUCUAUUUUUAAAGGUCAACAUACUGUAAGCUUCAUUCCUUUUAAAGCAGAGUUUUCGUAUGUGAGGUAAUCUUUCUUAUGCUGGGAGUGAAGGCAGUGCGUAUGACCGCUUGAUAUGAAAGACACAUCCUGUUUUUAAAGGUGGAUCAUGAGUGAAGCUCUGCGGGUCUGCCAUUGGCUUGAUAACAGUGGUUUAUGUGAAUUGAGUGAAUUCAAUUUAUAAAUAAAUCUUUCACCAAGCAUUCACCUAUUUACGGACAAAACAGAUCCAAAUCUUGUUCAGCCUGAUGCUCAACCUUGUAUGAUGAUGACCACAGCCAGGUGAUGGAGAGCUGUGUUAAUCACAGCCUGCGUCUUAAGAUCAACAUGACAAUAGCAGACCAUCUCUUAUCUUACUCUUAUCUGACUAAAACCCCAUUCACACAGACCUCUGGUCCCAGAAAAUACCCGUAAAAUUGCCAGACAAGCGUCUGUGUGAACAAAAACUCGUUCCAUUAAUCUUCUGGGAUCGUUGCCGGAAAGAGGACCUAGUAAGAUACGCGGGUAACCCUCUGUGUGAACAAGAAUGCCGUAAUGGGCGUGUCGAAGUGAGGACGCGCGCGUCAUCAUCACAACACAAGUUAUGGUUCAGCUCCUUACAACGAGAGAUAACAUGCAUAUAAACAUUCACCAUGAGAAAUGUUGCAAACUAGAUUAAAGCAGUUAUCAGGAAAUGAUAAAUGAGACGCAUAAACAAUGAG